GACGAACGCUGGCGGCGUGCUUAACACAUGCAAGUCGAACGGAAAGGCCCUGCUUUUGUGGGGUGCUCGAGUGGCGAACGGGUGAGUAACACGUGAGUAACCUGCCCUUGACUUUGGGAUAACUUCAGGAAACUGGGGCUAAUACCGGAUAGGAGCUCCUGCUGCAUGGUGGGGGUUGGAAAGUUUCGGCGGUUGGGGAUGGACUCGCGGCUUAUCAGCUUGUUGGUGGGGUAGCGGCUUACCAAGGCUUUGACGGGUAGCCGGCCUGAGAGGGUGACCGGCCACAUUGGGACUGAGACACGGCCCAGACUCCUACGGGAGGCAGCAGUGGGGAAUAUUGCACAAUGGGCGGAAGCCUGAUGCAGCAACGCCGCGUGCGGGAUGACGGCCUUCGGGUUGUAAACCGCUUUCGCCUGUGACGAAGCGUGAGUGACGGUAAUGGGUAAAGAAGCACCGGCUAACUACGUG
This 468-nucleotide ribosomal RNA is filed under the name uncultured bacterium. RNAcentral's name for it is "partial 16S ribosomal RNA". It matches the Rfam family "Bacterial small subunit ribosomal RNA", at positions 28 to 507 of the family's 1533-position model. The record is from RNAcentral.